GAUGAACGCUGGCGGCGUGCCUAAUACAUGCAAGUCGAGCGAACAGACGAGGAGCUUGCUCCUUCGACGUUAGCGGCGGACGGGUGAGUAACACGUAGGUAACCUACCUAUAAGACUGGGAUAACUUCGGGAAACCGGAGCUAAUACCGGAUAAUAUUUUGAACCGCAUGGUUCGAUAGUGAAAGAUGGCUUUGCUAUCACUUAUAGAUGGAUCUGCGCCGUAUUAGCUAGUUGGUAAGGUAACGGCUUACCAAGGCAACGAUACGUAGCCGACCUGAGAGGGUGAUCGGCCACACUGGAACUGAGACACGGUCCAGACUCCUACGGGAGGCAGCAGUAGGGAAUCUUCCGCAAUGGGCGAAAGCCUGACGGAGCAACGCCGCGUGAGUGAUGAAGGUCUUCGGAUCGUAAAACUCUGUUAUUAGGGAAGAACAAACGUGUAAGUAACUGUGCACGUCUUGACGGUACCUAAUCAGAAAGCCACGGCUAACUACGUG
Molecule: ribosomal RNA, 497 nt
Filed under: uncultured bacterium
Lineage: Bacteria
Description: partial 16S ribosomal RNA
Rfam family: Bacterial small subunit ribosomal RNA
Source: RNAcentral